This 406-nucleotide ribosomal RNA is filed under the name uncultured bacterium. RNAcentral describes it as "partial 16S ribosomal RNA". It matches the Rfam family "Bacterial small subunit ribosomal RNA", at positions 30 to 526 of the family's 1533-position model. The record is from RNAcentral.
AUUGAACGCUGGCGGCAGGCCUAACACAUGCAAGUCGAACGAGCGGCGGACGGGUGAGUAAUGUAUGGGAAACUGCCUGAUGGAGGGGGAUAAAUACUGGAAACGGUAGCUAAUACCGCAUACCAUCGGAUGUACCCAUAUGGGAUUAGCUUGUAGGUGGGGUAAAGGCUCACCUAGGCGACGGUCCCUAGCUGGUCUGAGAGGAUGACCAGCCACACUGGAACUGAGACACGGUCCAGACGCCUACGGGAGGCAGCAGUGUGGAAUAUUGCACAAUGGGCGCAAGCCUGAUGCAGCCAUGCCGCGUGUAUGAAGAAGGCCUUCGGGUUGUAAAGUACUUUCAGUGGGGAGGCGUUACCCACAGAAGAAGCACCGGCUAACUCCGUGCCAGCAGCCGCGGUAAUAC